Molecule: ribosomal RNA, 429 nt
Filed under: uncultured archaeon
Lineage: Archaea
Description: bacterial SSU rRNA
Rfam family: Archaeal small subunit ribosomal RNA
Source: RNAcentral
UACCAGCUCUCCGAGUGGUAGGGAUGAUUAUUGGGCUUAAAGCGUCCGUAGCCGGCUUAGCAAGUCUCCUGUUAAAUUCAGCGACCUAAUCGUUGAGCCGCGGGAGAUACUACUAGGCUAGGAGGCGGGAGAGGUCAACGGUACUUCCGGGGUAGGGGUGAAAUCCUAUAAUCCCGGGAGGACCACCAGUGGCGAAGGCUGUUGACUAGAACGCGCUCGACGGUGAGGGACGAAAGCUGGGGGAGCGAGCCGGAUUAGAUACCCGGGUAGUCCCAGCUGUAAACGAUGCGAGCUAGGUGUUGGGGUGGCUACGUGCCACUUCAGUGCCGCAGGGAAGCCAUUAAGCUCGCCGCCUGGGGAUACGGCCGCAAGGCUGAAACUUAAAGGAAUUGGCGGGGGAGCGACCACAAGGCGUGAAGCUUGCGGUUC